AGAGUUUGAUCAUGGCUCAGAACGAACGCUGACGGCGCGUCUUAAGCAUGCAAGUCGAACGGUAAGGGAGAGCUUGCUCUCCCCUAGAGUGGCGGACUGGUGAGUUACGCGUGGGUGACCUGCCCUGAAGAUGGGGAUAGCUAGUAGAAAUAUUAGAUAAUACCGAAUAAGCUCAUUUACAUAAAGGUAGAUGAGGAAAGGAGCUACGGCUCCGCUUUAGGAUGGGCCCGCGUCCCAUUAGCUGGUUGGUGAGGUAAAGGCUCACCAAGGCAACGAUGGGUAUCCGGCCUGAGAGGGUGAACGGACACAUUGGGACUGAGAUACGGCCCAAACUCCUACGGGAGGCAGCAGUGGGGAAUCUUCCGCAAUGGGCGAAAGCCUGACGGAGCAACGCCGCGUGAGUGAUGACGGCCUUCGGGUUGUAAAACUCUGUGAUCCGGGACGAAAAGGCAGAGUGCGAAGAACAAACUGCAUUGACGGUACCGRAAAAGAAAGCCCCGGCUAACUACGUGCCAGCAGCCGCGGU
RNAcentral lists this ribosomal RNA (526 nucleotides) under Treponema sp. oral clone 19-38. Its description in RNAcentral is "bacterial SSU rRNA". It matches the Rfam family "Bacterial small subunit ribosomal RNA", at positions 8 to 521 of the family's 1533-position model. Lineage: Bacteria; Pseudomonadati; Spirochaetota; Spirochaetia; Treponematales; Treponemataceae. The record is from RNAcentral.